GACGAACGCUGGCGGCGUGCCUAAUACAUGCAAGUCGAACGCUUCUUUCCUCCCGAUUGCUUGCACUCAAUUGGAAAGAGGAGUGGCGGACGGGUGAGUAACACGUGGGUAACCUACCCAUCAGAGGGGGAUAACACUUGGAAACAGGUGCUAAUACCGCAUAACAGUUUAUGCCGCAUUGCAUAAGAGUGAAAGGCGCUUUCGGGUGUCGCUGAUGGAUGGACCCGCGGUGCAUUAGCUAGUUGGUGAGGUAACGGCUCACCAAGGCCACGAUGCAUAGCCGACCUGAGAGGGUGAUCGGCCACACUGGGACUGAGACACGGCCCAGACUCCUACGGGAGGCAGCAGUAGGGAAUCUUCGGCAAUGGACGAAAGUCUGACCGAGCAACGCCGCGUGAGUGAAGAAGGUUUUCGGAUCGUAAAACUCUGUUGUUAGAGAAGAACAAGGACGUUAGUAACUGAACGUCCCCUGACGGUAUCUAACCAGAAAGCCACGGCUAACUACGUG
RNAcentral lists this ribosomal RNA (508 nucleotides) under uncultured bacterium. RNAcentral's name for it is "partial 16S ribosomal RNA". It matches the Rfam family "Bacterial small subunit ribosomal RNA", at positions 28 to 507 of the family's 1533-position model. The record is from RNAcentral.